UGUUAAAAAUUUCAUCCAUUUUUACUAUUGAAAACUAGCGUGAUUAAAAAAUAAUUAGAUAGUUACAUAUGGCGUGCGACGUUUGACGUAUAAGACUAAUUUUUAAUAGUAAAAAUAGAUAGAAUUUUUAAUC
Non-coding RNA from Gossypium arboreum, 133 nucleotides. Lineage: Eukaryota; Viridiplantae; Streptophyta; Magnoliopsida; Malvales; Malvaceae. The record is from Rfam.